AGAGUUUGAUCAUGGCUCAGGAUGAACGCUGGCGGCGUGCUUAACACAUGCAAGUCGAACGGGGAAUGCUUUGACAGAGACUUCGGUUGAAGUCGUUGUAUUCCUAGUGGCGGACGGGUGAGUAACGCGUGGGUAACCUGCCUCACACAGGGGGAUAACAGUUAGAAAUGACUGCUAAUACCGCAUAAGGCCACAGCACCGCAUGGUGCAGGGGUAAAAACUCCGCGG
RNAcentral lists this ribosomal RNA (228 nucleotides) under uncultured bacterium. Its description in RNAcentral is "partial 16S ribosomal RNA". It matches the Rfam family "Bacterial small subunit ribosomal RNA", at positions 8 to 214 of the family's 1533-position model. The record is from RNAcentral.